GGCCUCGUAGCUCAGCUGGUAGAGCAUACGCGUACAAAGCGUAGGCGGCGUCCAUGCGUGGGUUCGAAUCCCAAUGAGGCUA
Molecule: transfer RNA, 82 nt
Filed under: Echinostoma caproni
Lineage: Eukaryota; Metazoa; Platyhelminthes; Trematoda; Plagiorchiida; Echinostomatidae
Rfam family: tRNA
About the family: Transfer RNA (tRNA) molecules are approximately 80 nucleotides in length. Their secondary structure includes four short double-helical elements and three loops (D, anti-codon, and T loops).
Source: Rfam by way of RNAcentral